This 299-nucleotide signal recognition particle RNA is filed under the name Aotus nancymaae (Ma's night monkey). Its description in RNAcentral is "Metazoan signal recognition particle RNA (ENSANAG00000006743.1)". It matches the Rfam family "Metazoan signal recognition particle RNA". From Rfam's summary of the family: The signal recognition particle (SRP) is a universally conserved ribonucleoprotein. It is involved in the co-translational targeting of proteins to membranes. The eukaryotic SRP consists of a 300-nucleotide 7S RNA and six proteins: SRPs 72, 68, 54, 19, 14, and 9. The record is from RNAcentral. Lineage: Eukaryota; Metazoa; Chordata; Mammalia; Primates; Aotidae.
GCCAGGCACAGUGGCGCGUGCCUGUAGUCCCAGCUACUCGGGAGGCUGAGGUGGGAGGAUCGCUUGAGCCCAUGGGUUCUAGGCUGUAGUGCGCUAUGCUGAUCGGGUGUCUGCACUAAGUUCAGCAUCAAUAUGGUGACCUCCCAGGAGGAGGGGACCACCAGGUUGCCUAAGGAGGGGUGAACUGGACCACAUAGGAAAUGGAGCAGGUCAAAACUCCCGUGCUGAUCAGCAGUGGGAUCGAGCCUGUGAAUAGCCACUACACUCCAGCCUGGGCAACAUAGCGAGACCCCGUCUCU